AACUGAAGCCCAGAGAGGGCAUGGAACUUGUCCAAGGUCACACAACUGGUUGGUUAGUGGCUUGAUAAGCUCAAGCUCUCCUGACUGCCCUUGUCCCUACAAGCAGCUUCCUCUCCAAGGAGUCCCCUAGGCCUGCUUAUAUGGGGCUUGAGACCUGUGCUGUGAUAAAUCUGAUUUGCUUAGGGGUGAGCUAAGGGAUUCCUCCUCCUAGACCCCCCAUCCAUAGCUACCAGGUGCUUGACAGAAUGGAAAUGUUUCACCCUCCAAAAGUACCCUGUAAAGGCCCAACCUCCAACCAGAAUGUGUGUACAGGCAUAAAGGAUUGUGGUUCUUAACCUGUUUCAGUUCUCAAGCCCGAAAGAAACUCAUGAAUGCCUUUUCUUAGCAAAAUGCAUGUAAAGAAAAUGUGGGCCGGGCGCUGUGGCUCAUGCCUGUAAUCCCAGCACUUUGGGAGGCCGAGGGGGGCGGAUGACGAGUCAAGAGAUCGAGACCAUCCUGGCCAACAUGGUGAAACCCCGACUCUACUAAAAUACAAAAAAUUAGCCCGGUGUGGUGGCGCGUACCUGUAGUCCCAGCUAUUCCUGAGGCUGAGGCAGGAGAAUCGCUUGAACCCUGGAGGCAGAGGUUGCAGCCAGCCGAUAUCGCGCCACUGCAGUCCAGCCUGGCAACAGAGCGAGACUCCAUCUCAAAGAAAAAAAAUGUGCAUACAGUAUGUUGACUUCCUUUGACAUUGACAGGAUCUUGCUGUGUUGCCCAGGCUGAAAUGCAAUGGCAUGAUCUUGGCUCACUGCAGCCUCAACCUCCCGGGCUCAAACAAUCCUCCUCGCUUAGCCUCCCAAAAAGCUGGUACUACAGCUAGUACCAGCGCAGGAGAGCCAAAUAUGUACAUCUCUUCCCAAAUCUACAUUAGUAACAUCGUAUUAGUAGCUCAAAGUUGGUCAUGGUGGGAGUAUUUACACCACAGAAAACAGAAACUACUGGAGGAUGUGGUGCACCAGAAUAAGAGAAUAAACCAAGAAACAGGAAGACGUGAUCCAGGCAACAGGGUAUUCCAGUAUAGGCAGAGAAGACAUGGCCCAAAAUGAACCAUUAUGUUUCUCCAUGGUGGCAUGUCAGGGCUGGUCAGAUUGGAGAGUGUUGGAAACAGAAGCCCAGUAGUGAAAGCUACAGCUGCCAGAUACUUGCAGUGGAAUCACAGGAGCAAUCGGAGUUCUUUAUAAAUGGCAGUAACAACUCACUUGACUUUCCUUCACCUGACACUGUCACCUAUCACAACAUUGGCCAUCAAACUGGUAGAACCACCAGUCCUCUGAUUUGGUUUCCUAGAGAAGGCAGUUGUUCAGCUCAAUGUUUUGUUAACAUCAAGGCUCUUAUUCUUGCAUUUGAAACCAAACACCUCAAUCAUUUUGCUUGCACCAGGGUUGGUACAAAGAGGCAUGGUCCUUCUUGGAAGCUGAAGUCAGAGGGCAAGGGAGCCAUUCAUGCAGUCCAUGUGGGUCAGCACCCGCUGGGGUCCACAGUGGGAUGAAGACGGGUUCUGAAAGGCAAAUGGAAGACAUCCAGUAUAACCUCUCCCUGAACAAUUUAAUUCUGGAGUGUGAGCAGGAACCAGUUAACUACAUUCAUUGUCCAACUCCCACUGGUUUGAAAGAAGACUCCAAAUUCUUGGCAUACGAAUCAGCUGUUCGGUAGCUCCACCUUAUCCCUGCAGCGAAGCAGCAGAACCGCCAACGGCGGCACCUCAGGAUUCACACUGUGGGUGGUGAGACCUUCCGCUGAAGGAGGUACUGGUGGAUGCUCUCGGCAUCUCGCUUUAGCCAAGCAGCAUUCAGCAGAAUAUUUUCACAACACUGCUGGAUGGUACGCUCAGCUGAAGGAGCUGGGUGACUCUCGAAGAAAGCCUGGUAUAAAACAACCCAGAAUGCAGGAUCAUUACUAGCAGUAAGAAGUUAAUAUUACAGGUUACGAAAAAAUACCCACUGGUCUAUAUGAAGGAUGCAUAAUCCUUCAUGAGGCAUGAGAAUUUACCACUGCCACCCUCAGGCUAAAAGAAAACAAGCAACUCCUUGCACCUGCAUAUAGGAAUUCUCCCCUUAAAUAUUAUAUGCUUAACAAACUAAUCGAAAGUUAAUAAAGAGACAGAACCUAUUGCCUUUCUUUUAGGCUAAUUGUAUAGUGGUAAAUACAGUCUUUGGACUGAAGACUUGGAACUUGAAUCUAGGCUUGGUCAUGUACUAGCUUGUGACUGUGAGAAAAUUAACUGCUGUAAGUCUCAGUUUUCUCAACUAUGAGAAAAUAUUCACUCCAGAAGAUUAAAGAGACAAUCCAUAUAAACAUUUCACAAAAUACCUAGCACAGAGUACUUAAGGAUUCAACACAUUUUGGCUGCUUCAAAUAAAGAUUAAUUUGUAAGGGA
Long non-coding RNA from Symphalangus syndactylus (siamang), 2416 nucleotides. RefSeq lists it as uncharacterized. The record is from RefSeq and is a predicted model, not a curated record. Lineage: Eukaryota; Metazoa; Chordata; Mammalia; Primates; Hylobatidae.